GAUGAAGAACGUAGCGAAAUGCGAUAAGUAGUGUGAAUUGCAGAAUUCAGUGAAUCAUCGAAUCUUUGAACGCACAUUGCGCCCCUUGGUAUUCCAUGGGACAUGCCUGUUCGAGCGUCAUUUGUACCUUCAAGCUCUGCUUGGUGUUGGGUGUUUGUCUCGCCUCUGCGUGUAGACUCGCCUCAAAAUAAUUGGCAGCCGGCGUAUUGAUUUCGGAGCGCAGUACAUCUCGCGCUUUGCACUCAUAACGACGACGUCCAAAAGUACAUUUUUACACUCUUGACCUCGGAUCAGGUAGGGAUACCCGCUGAACUUAAGCAUAUCAAUAAGCGGAGGA
Molecule: unclassified non-coding RNA, 337 nt
Filed under: soil metagenome
Description: partial contains 5.8S ribosomal RNA, internal transcribed spacer 2, and large subunit ribosomal RNA
Rfam family: 5.8S ribosomal RNA (bases 1-120)
Source: RNAcentral